AUACGUAGGGGGCGAGCGUUGUCCGGAAUGAUUGGGCGUAAAGGGCGCGUAGGCGGCCCGGUAAGUCUGGAGUGAAAGUCCUGUUUUUAAGAUGGGAAUUGCUUUGGAUACUGUCGGGCUUGAGUGCAGGAGAGGUAAGUGGAAUUCCCAGUGUAGCGGUGAAAUGCGUAGAGAUUGGGAGGAACACCAGUGGCGAAGGCGACUUACUGGACUGUAACUGACGCUGAGGCGCGAAAGUGUGGGGAGCAAACAGGAUUAGAUACCCUGGUAGUCCACACUGUAAACGAUGAAUGCUAGGUGUAGGGGGUAUCGACCCCUUCUGUGCCGCAGUCAACACAAUAAGCAUUCCGCCUGGGGAGUACGGCCGCAAGGUUGAAACUCAAAGGAAGUGACGGG
Molecule: ribosomal RNA, 396 nt
Filed under: uncultured bacterium
Lineage: Bacteria
Description: partial 16S ribosomal RNA
Rfam family: Bacterial small subunit ribosomal RNA
Source: RNAcentral